This 492-nucleotide ribosomal RNA is filed under the name uncultured bacterium. Its description in RNAcentral is "bacterial SSU rRNA". It matches the Rfam family "Bacterial small subunit ribosomal RNA", at positions 8 to 489 of the family's 1533-position model. The record is from RNAcentral.
AGAGUUUGAUCCUGGCUCAGAUUGAACGCUGGCGGCAUGCCCUACACAUGCAAGUCGAACGGCAGCAUGAUCUAGCUUGCUAGAUUGAUGGCGAGUGGCGAACGGGUGAGUAAUACAUCGGAACGUGCCCUGUAGUGGGGGAUAACUAGUCGAAAGAUUAGCUAAUACCGCAUACGACCUGAGGGUGAAAGUGGGGGACCGCAAGGCCUCAUGCUAUAGGAGCGGCCGAUGUCUGAUUAGCUAGUUGGUGAGGUAAAGGCUCACCAAGGCGACGAUCAGUAGCUGGUCUGAGAGGACGAUCAGCCACACUGGGACUGAGACACGGCCCAGACUCCUACGGGAGGCAGCAGUGGGGAAUUUUGGACAAUGGGCGAAAGCCUGAUCCAGCAAUGCCGCGUGUGUGAAGAAGGCCUUCGUGUUGUAAAGCACUUUUGUCCGGAAAGAAAUGGCUCUGGUUAAUACCUGGGGUCGAUGACGGUACCGGAAGAAUAA